Molecule: long non-coding RNA, 1098 nt
Organism: Oxyura jamaicensis (ruddy duck)
Lineage: Eukaryota; Metazoa; Chordata; Aves; Anseriformes; Anatidae
Exons: 4
Source: RefSeq, a predicted model, not a curated record
UUCUUUGGUAUGUGUGUUCUUGCUCUGAUCUUGUUUAAUGUUUCAGUGCUUAGUUGAGUUUAGGUGUUAUCUUAAAAGGGAUUUCUAUGGCAUGGCCCCAGGCUUCUGCAGGCAGCUGGUAUUGGUGCAGUUACUGACUGCCACUGGACAGCCAAGGAAUGAAAUCACAGGAACAGGGAGCUCUGCUUGGGGAUGGCCACCUCUAAGGGCCACAAACAACAUCUCCAUUAGAUCCUGAACCUUCUCCCAAAGUCACCUGAAGUCUAUAGGGCUCCUUAGUGGUUCCUGAAAUCAGAUUCUACUUACUGGGUCUAAGUGAAGCUGCCUGGACUGGCUGGCUGUCUUAACCUGCUCCAAAGCAGGAAUAUUUCCAAGUCACAUCUUGCAUCAAAUGAAGUCUAGGGGAAAGUUGGUACAAGCAACUAGGCAUUCACCAUAUAGGAUCUGGAGAGGAGGGAGACAGCUCUGCCUUUAAAAUCUCUUUGUGCUUAAAAAGCACUUCUCGCAAGUCUGAAAUAGCACAUCUUCAACUCAACAUUUGUCCCUGAGAAAUAUGUUUGAUGCUGUAUAAUUAAAGAGCACAAAAUACAGAUGUAAUUAGUGUUCUGCAAAAAUAGUUUUUCCACUACCAGGCUCUGAAAUGCAUGUUUGCAUGCGCUAUUUGCAAGCUGAUCUUGCAUCCUUGAUGUACCCCUGUGCCUAUGUCAUGGGAGCCAUCUACCUGACAGUUCCCCAUCAGAAUUCUCCCCCCCCCAAAAAUUGCGGAGUUGCUCCCUGAUGCCCGCCCUUGCAGUGUGUGGCUGGGUAGGGGCUGGGGAAGGAAUGCCCUGGGAAUGUCCAGGGUGCUUCUACAGCCUGGCUCCUUGGAGCUGUGUUGUGUUCACAGGCUCUCAGUCUGUUGAGUGUGGCCUGCAGGUAACUGCAUUUGGUGUUGUCAUAGCUGAGCCUAGAAACUCUCCUUGCUCACUGACAGCCCAGUCUUUGUAGCUUGUGGCAUGGGAGGAAAGGGAUGUCUGCCAACACACCUGUUUUUCAAAACAUUAAAUGCUCUGAGUCAAGUCGUAGCAUGUUUUGACAAGGUAAGUUAUCCUUUUUGAA